UACAGAGGUCUCAAGCGUUGUUCGGAUUCAUUGGGCGUAAAGGGUGCGUAGGCGGCGCGGUAAGUCGGGUGUGAAAUCUUGGAGCUUAACUCCGAAACUGCAUUCGAUACUGCCGUGCUUGAGGACUGGAGAGAAGACUGGAAUUUACGGUGUAGCGGUGAAAUGCGUAGAUAUCGUAAGGAAGACUAGUGGCGAAGGCGGGUCUCUGGACAGUUCCUGACGCUGAGGCACGAAGGUCAGGGGAGCAAACGGG
Molecule: ribosomal RNA, 253 nt
Filed under: uncultured bacterium
Lineage: Bacteria
Description: partial 16S ribosomal RNA
Rfam family: Bacterial small subunit ribosomal RNA
Source: RNAcentral